GUAUACUUGUCCCCUUUGUGUAUUGCUGCUAAUCUUUCUCUUUCUAGGUUCUGUUGGUUGCAUGCAGAUUGUGCCAGAUGAUUUAUCUGUCUAUGGUCUAAGCAUGGGCUCUGUGCUAAUAUGCAAUUUGUGCUCUUUUUUCCCUCAGGUCAACAGCAGACAGGGUCCUUCCACAACCACAUACUUAUGCCAGUAAAAGCCACAGCUUUUCUCCUCCAAUCCAAGAAGCCUGGACUGCAGUCACCAUCUCAACACACCAACCAAGAGAAAGGCGGAUGGCUCAAUUCAAUAUGGAAAAUUGCACAAUAAAAGUUCCAGGACAUGAAGGCUGCAUACUGUGAACGUCAACCUUCAGGGCACCGUCCUGCGCAGAAGACUUUCUACCCUAAGAGGGAUGGCUGACCGCAGACACUCACAACCAGCACAGACGCCUCCAACCUCAGACUAGGCCCUUCACAGUUGCUGCACUUACCCACCUUCCCAGAGUUUUUGUGUGGUAAUGACAACUGUAAAUAUAGUAUAAAGUAAUGUAUCUAGUGUCAUGUAUAAUACAUUG
This is a long non-coding RNA of Engraulis encrasicolus (European anchovy), 556 nucleotides long. RefSeq lists it as uncharacterized. NCBI's taxonomy places the organism in Eukaryota, Metazoa, Chordata, Actinopteri, Clupeiformes, Engraulidae. The transcript is spliced from 3 exons. The record is from RefSeq and is a predicted model, not a curated record.